GCAGCUCUCAAUCCCUAUUACCUGUUAACUGCUGCCACCAUCGACCAGCGUUCAGCCUGGGGAGUUCAGCUUUGCGUGUGUGUUCACGUGAAGACUGAAGGCAGUGAAAGCAGAAGGAUGCCAGAAUCCAAUCAAAGUCCUGGGCCCUGAAUACAUCUUCCACUUCCUUUUUGCCAUCCUGGAUUUUACCUGGAUUUGUUUGGGGGAAGCACAAGGAAACAAAACAAUUUGGAACUUGCGAAUGAAAUCACAGAUGGACUUUGCACUCUUCAAAACAGGCCUGGAUGAAAAGGUGCAGUCACUACCAGCUAAGGUAAAUUAUACAGACUGUUUUAAAACCACAGCUGUGUGUGGGCAUCACAAGAACACACAAAUGUGAAACUCUAGAUCGAACCAUCCAACAGUUAGCUCAAGUUGACAUGGAAGCUUUAGAAACCAUUUUUAUUAGGACCACUAUGAGCGUUUUCACUCGAAAGGAGACUUAUUUCCAACUAAAAUCGUUGGAAAUAACAGUCUUUCCUUUGGCAGGUUCUGCUCUUGGACCUCUCAAGUUUCAAAGACGCAGA
Long non-coding RNA from Oreochromis niloticus (Nile tilapia), 566 nucleotides. RefSeq lists it as uncharacterized. NCBI's taxonomy places the organism in Eukaryota, Metazoa, Chordata, Actinopteri, Cichliformes, Cichlidae. The transcript has 3 exons. The record is from RefSeq and is a predicted model, not a curated record.